UACAGAGGUCCCAAGCGUUGUUCGGAUUCAUUGGGCGUAAAGAGCUCGUAGGCGGUCUGUCGCGUCGGUCGUGAAAACUUGGGGCUUAACCCUGAGCUUGCGGUCGAUACGGGCAUGACUGGAGUUCGGCAGGGGAGACUGGAAUUCCUGGUGUAGCGGUGAAAUGCGCAGAUAUCAGGAGGAACACCGGUGGCGAAGGCGGGUCUCUGGGCCGAUACUGACGCUGAGGAGCGAAAGCGUGGGGAGCGAACAGG
Molecule: ribosomal RNA, 254 nt
Filed under: uncultured bacterium
Lineage: Bacteria
Description: partial 16S ribosomal RNA
Rfam family: Bacterial small subunit ribosomal RNA
Source: RNAcentral